CUAGUGGUUAAGCCACGCCCCUUCUAAAUUCCCACCUCGAGGAGGUCCCCAAAACCAACCCAAUGACCAAACAACAACGAGGAACAGGGGCCACGAGCAAGUGAGUGACAGGGGGGUGAAAGUUGCGUCGGGGAACGGGCUCCCGCCUCUGGUUCCCUCUGCCCGUGGCGCGCUCCUCUUCCUUCCUGGAGGCAGAAUAAAUCAAAUCAGUGUUGGCUACCGCCGGGACACGAGGACACGGUGGAUCGAUCUCCGAGGAUUCUCUCACCUCUUCACCGACUGCGGCUCUUGGUAAGUAUAGGUUUCCUUCCUUACUGUUCCUUUAACACGCACACGGGUUCUCUCUACUCCU
This is a non-coding RNA of Paramisgurnus dabryanus, 352 nucleotides long. The record is from RefSeq and is a predicted model, not a curated record. NCBI's taxonomy places the organism in Eukaryota, Metazoa, Chordata, Actinopteri, Cypriniformes, Cobitidae.